GGCCAUAUAGUGUAGUGGUCUUAUCACAUCGGAUUUUGAAUCCAAAUUUCCGAUAACCCAGGUUCGAGUCCUGGUAUGGCCU
Transfer RNA from Neolentinus lepideus HHB14362 ss-1, 82 nucleotides. It matches the Rfam family "tRNA". From Rfam's summary of the family: Transfer RNA (tRNA) molecules are approximately 80 nucleotides in length. Their secondary structure includes four short double-helical elements and three loops (D, anti-codon, and T loops). The record is from Rfam. NCBI's taxonomy places the organism in Eukaryota, Fungi, Basidiomycota, Agaricomycetes, Gloeophyllales, Gloeophyllaceae.